This 383-nucleotide ribosomal RNA is filed under the name Escherichia coli. RNAcentral describes it as "bacterial LSU rRNA". It matches the Rfam family "Bacterial large subunit ribosomal RNA", at positions 363 to 751 of the family's 2925-position model. The record is from RNAcentral. Lineage: Bacteria; Pseudomonadati; Pseudomonadota; Gammaproteobacteria; Enterobacterales; Enterobacteriaceae.
GGUGACAGCCCCGUACACAAAAAUGCACAUACUGUGAGCUCGAUGAGUAGGGCGGGACACGUGGUAUCCUGUCUGAAUAUGGGGGGACCAUCCUCCAAGGCUAAAUACUCCUGACUGACCGAUAGUGAACCAGUACCGUGAGGGAAAGGCGAAAAGAACCCCGGCGAGGGGAGUGAAAAAGAACCUGAAACCGUGUACGUACAAGCAGUGGGAGCACGCUUAGGCGUGUGACUGCGUUCCUUUUGUAUAAUGGGUCAGCGACUUAUAUUCUGUAGCAAGGUUAACCGAAUAGGGGAGCCGAAGGGAAACCGAGUCUUAACUGGGCGUUAAGUUGCAGGGUAUAGACCCGAAACCCGGUGAUCUAGCCAUGGGCAGGUUGAAGG